Molecule: long non-coding RNA, 325 nt
Filed under: Pan troglodytes (chimpanzee)
Lineage: Eukaryota; Metazoa; Chordata; Mammalia; Primates; Hominidae
Description: long non-coding RNA NONPTRT009522
Source: RNAcentral
CUGGGAGUGGGGAGUGUGCACAGGUGGAGAGUGUGGUGUGGACGGGAGUGGGGAGCGUGCACAGGUGGAGAAUGUGGUGUGGCUGGGAGUGGGGAGCGUGCACAGGUGGAGAGAGUGGUGUGGCUGGGAGUGGGGAGCGUGCACAGGUGGAGAGAGUGGUGUGGCUGGGAGUGGGGAGCGUGCACAGGUGGAGAGUGUGGUGUGGCUGGGAGUGGGGAGCGUGCACAGGUGGAGAGUGUGGUGUGGCUGGGAGUGGGGAGCGUGCACAGGUGGAGAGAGUGGUGUGGCUGGGAGUGGGGAGCGUGCACAGGUGGAGAGAGUGGUG